This 1100-nucleotide ribosomal RNA is filed under the name Enterobacteriaceae bacterium M144. Its description in RNAcentral is "bacterial SSU rRNA". It matches the Rfam family "Bacterial small subunit ribosomal RNA", at positions 28 to 1117 of the family's 1533-position model. The record is from RNAcentral. Lineage: Bacteria; Pseudomonadati; Pseudomonadota; Gammaproteobacteria; Enterobacterales; Enterobacteriaceae.
AUUGAACGCUGGCGGCAGGCCUAACACAUGCAAGUCGAACGGUAACAGGAAGCAGCUUGCUGCUUUGCUGACGAGUGGCGGACGGGUGAGUAAUGUCUGGGAAACUGCCCGAUGGAGGGGGAUAACUACUGGAAACGGUAGCUAAUACCGCAUAAUGUCGCAAGACCAAAGAGGGGGACCUUCGGGCCUCUUGCCAUCGGAUGUGCCCAGAUGGGAUUAGCUUGUUGGUGAGGUAAUGGCUCACCAAGGCGACGAUCCCUAGCUGGUCUGAGAGGAUGACCAGCCACACUGGAACUGAGACACGGUCCAGACUCCUACGGGAGGCAGCAGUGGGGAAUAUUGCACAAUGGGCGCAAGCCUGAUGCAGCCAUGCCGCGUGUGUGAAGAAGGCCUUCGGGUUGUAAAGCACUUUCAGCGGGGAGGAAGGCAGUACGGUUAAUAACCGUGCUGAUUGACGUUACCCGCAGAAGAAGCACCGGCUAACUCCGUGCCAGCAGCCGCGGUAAUACGGAGGGUGCAAGCGUUAAUCGGAAUUACUGGGCGUAAAGCGCACGCAGGCGGUCUGUCAAGUCGGAUGUGAAAUCCCCGGGCUCAACCUGGGAACUGCAUUCGAAACUGGCAGGCUUGAGUCUUGUAGAGGGGGGUAGAAUUCCAGGUGUAGCGGUGAAAUGCGUAGAGAUCUGGAGGAAUACCGGUGGCGAAGGCGGCCCCCUGGACAAAGACUGACGCUCAGGUGCGAAAGCGUGGGGAGCAAACAGGAUUAGAUACCCUGGUAGUCCACGCCGUAAACGAUGUCGACUUGGAGGUUGUGCCCUUGAGGCGUGGCUUCCGGAGCUAACGCGUUAAGUCGACCGCCUGGGGAGUACGGCCGCAAGGUUAAAACUCAAAUGAAUUGACGGGGGCCCGCACAAGCGGUGGAGCAUGUGGUUUAAUUCGAUGCAACGCGAAGAACCUUACCUGGUCUUGACAUCCACGGAAUUUGGCAGAGAUGCCUUAGUGCCUUCGGGAACCGUGAGACAGGUGCUGCAUGGCUGUCGUCAGCUCGUGUUGUGAAAUGUUGGGUUAAGUCCCGCAACGAGCGCAACCCUUAUCCUUUGUUG